RNAcentral lists this ribosomal RNA (562 nucleotides) under Xylaria badia. RNAcentral describes it as "eukaryotic LSU rRNA". It matches the Rfam family "Eukaryotic large subunit ribosomal RNA", at positions 62 to 648 of the family's 3401-position model. The record is from RNAcentral. Lineage: Eukaryota; Fungi; Ascomycota; Sordariomycetes; Xylariales; Xylariaceae.
AAACCAACAGGGAUUGCCCUAGUAACGGCGAGUGAAGCGGCAACAGCUCAAAUUUGAAAUCUGGCCCUCGGGUCCGAGUUGUAAUUUGUAGAGGAUGCUUUUGGCGCGGUGCCUUCCGAGUUCCCUGGAACGGGACGCCUUAGAGGGUGAGAGCCCCGUACGGUUGGACACCAAGCCUCUGUAAAGCUCCUUCGACGAGUCGAGUAGUUUGGGAAUGCUGCUCUAAAUGGGAGGUAAAUUUCUUCUAAAGCUAAAUAUUGGCCAGAGACCGAUAGCGCACAAGUAGAGUGAUCGAAAGAUGAAAAGCACUUUGAAAAGAGGGUUAAAUAGCACGUGAAAUUGUUGAAAGGGAAGCGUUUGCGACCAGACCUUUUCCUGGCGGAUCAUCCGGUGUUCUCACCGGUGCACUUCGCCAGGUUGAGGCCAGCAUCGGUUUCCGCAGGGGGAUAAAAGCUCUGGGAAUGUAGCUCCCUCGGGAGUGUUAUAGCCCUCUGCAUAAUACCCUUGCGGGGACCGAGGACCGCGCUUCGGCAAGGAUGCUGGCAUAAUGGUCGUCAACGAC